This 402-nucleotide ribosomal RNA is filed under the name uncultured prokaryote. RNAcentral's name for it is "bacterial SSU rRNA". It matches the Rfam family "Bacterial small subunit ribosomal RNA", at positions 355 to 774 of the family's 1533-position model. The record is from RNAcentral.
UAGGGAAUAUUAGAAAUGGACGAAAGUCUGAUCUAGCAACACCGCGUGUGCGAAGAAGGCCUUCGGGUUGUAAAGCACUUUUUGGAAGGAUUAGGAAGGAAUGUACUUCCAGAAUAAGUCUCGGCUAACUACGUGCCAGCAGCCGCGGUAACACGUAGGAGGCAAACGUUAUCCGGAUUUACUGGGCGUAAAGCGCGUGUAGGUGGUUCUGUAAGUAGGGCGUGAAAGCUCCUGGCUCAAUCGGGAGAGGCCGUUCUAAACCGCAGAGCUAGAGGAUGGUAGAGGGAGGUGGAAUUCCGGGUGUAGCGGUGGAAUGCGCAGAUAUCCGGAGGAACACCAGUGGCGAAAGCGGCCUCCUGGACCAUUCCUGACACUCAGACGCGAAAGCUAGGGUAGCAAACG